RNAcentral lists this ribosomal RNA (253 nucleotides) under uncultured bacterium. RNAcentral's name for it is "partial 16S ribosomal RNA". It matches the Rfam family "Bacterial small subunit ribosomal RNA", at positions 524 to 776 of the family's 1533-position model. The record is from RNAcentral.
UACGAAGGGGGCUAGCGUUGCUCGGAAUUACUGGGCGUAAAGGGCGCGUAGGCGGACAGUUUAGUCAGAGGUGAAAGCCCAGGGCUCAACCUUGGAAUAGCCUUUGAUACUGGCUGUCUUGAGUUCGGGAGAGGUGAGUGGAAUGCCGAGUGUAGAGGUGAAAUUCGUAGAUAUUCGGCGGAACACCAGUGGCGAAGGCGACUCACUGGCCCGAUACUGACGCUGAGACGCGAAAGCUAGGGGAGCGAACAGG